Molecule: transfer RNA, 64 nt
Filed under: Ectomomyrmex javanus
Lineage: Eukaryota; Metazoa; Arthropoda; Insecta; Hymenoptera; Formicidae
Description: tRNA-Phe
Source: RNAcentral
AUUUGAAUAGCUUAAAAAAAGUAUUAUAUUGAAGAUAUAAAGAUAAUAGAUUUAUUUUCAAAUA